UGUAUUGCCCCAGAUGUCGUAGUGUGGUU
RNAcentral lists this non-coding RNA (29 nucleotides) under Homo sapiens (human). The record is from RNAcentral. Lineage: Eukaryota; Metazoa; Chordata; Mammalia; Primates; Hominidae.